GCCCCCAUAGCUUAACGGUAAAGCAGUGGCCUCUUAAGCCAUUGAUCCGGGUUCGAUUCCUGGUGGGGGCAC
This 72-nucleotide transfer RNA is filed under the name Parcubacteria group bacterium ADurb.Bin159. Its description in RNAcentral is "tRNA-Lys". It matches the Rfam family "tRNA". Rfam says of the family: Transfer RNA (tRNA) molecules are approximately 80 nucleotides in length. Their secondary structure includes four short double-helical elements and three loops (D, anti-codon, and T loops). Further hydrogen bonds mediate the characteristic L-shaped molecular structure. tRNAs have two regions of fundamental functional importance: the anti-codon, which is responsible for specific mRNA codon recognition, and the 3' end, to which the tRNAs corresponding amino acid is attached (by aminoacyl-tRNA synthetases). tRNAs cope with the degeneracy of the genetic code in two manners: having more than one tRNA (with a specific anti-codon) for a particular amino acid; and 'wobble' base-pairing, i.e. permitting non-standard base-pairing at the 3rd anti-codon position. The record is from RNAcentral.